Molecule: long non-coding RNA, 368 nt
Organism: Tupaia belangeri chinensis (Chinese tree shrew)
Lineage: Eukaryota; Metazoa; Chordata; Mammalia; Scandentia; Tupaiidae
Exons: 3
Source: RefSeq, a predicted model, not a curated record
CCCACAGAACACCAAGUACUAUACUUUGCUACAUUACCUUGCAUGUAGGAACAGCUUAGUGGACAUCAGUGAUUGAGGAUUGACCCUGCAGCACUUGAAGUCUUAUACAUGGUUCAGUCUACUCUUCUAAGAACAAAUUUUCAGUUAUGAUGACUGUUUAUAAGUAGAGAGCACUGUUUUAGCUGAAACACUAUUGGAAGGAUAAAGAAUGUACACAUUGUUCACACUUCCCGUGCUGCCUGCUGAAUUGCCUUCCAGAAAGAUUCCAGAUGUUUUCACUCCAAAUAGCUGUGUGGGAGGACUAGGAGCGUGGCCACAUCAGCUAAGGAGAAUCGUGUGAACCAGAACCGACCAAUGACAAAUGGGAC